This 2206-nucleotide unclassified non-coding RNA is filed under the name uncultured fungus. Its description in RNAcentral is "sequence contains 18S rRNA gene, ITS1, 5.8S rRNA gene, ITS2, 28S rRNA gene". The stretch from base 1043 to 2206 matches the Rfam family "Eukaryotic large subunit ribosomal RNA", at positions 1 to 961 of the family's 3401-position model. Lineage: Eukaryota; Fungi. The record is from RNAcentral.
GGAAGGAUCAUUACCACACCGUUUGGGAAUGGGGAGGAGUCGGGAUGGACAUUAGUCUCUUCUCUCUCUCUCUGUUUUCAAAACACAUCUACCCCUUUGCGAACUUUGUGAUGUAUUUUCUUAACUCAGUGUUGUAGUUUGUUCUUUCUCUUCAAACUUCUUGUUUGAACCGAACGGCGGCUUACUACAUAACUACCCAACUCCAAACACCACUUACAAAUUGACAACCAAGAUUGAUCUCUUCUGAAACCGAAAGUGUGUUGUGUGUUUGCCUCCUUUUCAAGGGGCCGCCAAUGCCGUUUUUUGUAUAACAAAACUUUAAACAACUUUCAGCGAUGGAUAUCUUGGCUCUCGCAACGAUGAAAGAACGCAGCGAAAUGCGAUUACGUAAUGCGAAUUGCAGAAUUCAGUGAAUCAUCAAAACUUUGAACGCAAAUUGCGCUUCCGGGUAUCCCUGGGAGCAUGCCUGUAUGAGUGUCUGUUGACACCACUCACGUCUUCUCUUUGUCCUUGUCUACUUUCCUUUUGUUCUUACAGAAGGAAGGAAGGAGGAGAGAGCGGAAGGUGUGGAAUUUAUGAGAAGUCCUAGUGCCUUUUGUGGUGCUAUGUCUCUUCAAGUCAUCUGGCCAUUUAGAGUGUGUUGGCUUUUCUCCUCUUCUUCUUCUUGUCCUCUUUUGGAUCGAGUCGGCUAGGCUGUCUUUCGGCUGAGGCUGCUUGUUCGGACAAGCGUGGUAGUUGUGUCGCCUCGUGCUUCGCAUCCCUAACGCUGUGCCUCGUCAAGCUCCUUGGUAUCUAACGAAUGCUUUUGUCCUGGUCGUCCUCGGAAGGAUGUAAGAGUAGGAAUCUCAAAACCCAACCACCCUAUCCUAUGGACCUUACCCCUCCAAAGAGUCGUCUUCACGCUGUUGCUGUAAGAUCGAACGAUGUUCUUUUCUGAAGUUACAUCUGCCUUUCAAACAGAGCAGCUCCUGACGAAGAAAAGGUGCUCAGUCCUUCUCUGUUCUUUCAUUAGAAGAUAGAAAGCAAGCACUCUUUCCUCUUUGGACCUCAUAUCAGGCAAGAGGACCCGCUGAAUUUAAGCAUAUAACUAAGCGGAGGAAAAGAAACUAACCAGGAUUCCCCUAGUAACGGCGAGUGAAGCGGGAAAAGCUCAACUUGAAAAUCCGUGUAGCCCCGCUGCACUGAAUUGUAGUCUAUCGAAGCUGUUGUCAGUGACCCUCCCGGGAGAAGUCUCUUGGAACAGGGCAUCAUAGAGGGUGAGAAUCCCGUCUGUGCCCGGGAAGUUGGCCACGUACGACACGCUUUCAACGAGUCGAGUUGCUUGGGACUGCAGCUCAAAAUGGGUGGUAAAUUCCAUCUAAGGCUAAAUACUGGCGAGAGACCGAUAGCGAACAAGUACCGUGAGGGAAAGAUGCAAAGAACUUUGAAAAGAGAGUUAAAAGUACUUGAAAUUGCUGAAAGGGAAGCGAAUCAAACCAGUGUUGAUGCGCCGUCAUCUUCAGUGAUGUCCUUGCUUGGGUUUGCGUGUCGGAGAGGGUUCACCUCCCUCCGCUGCUUUCUUCUUUUGUAAGGUCAUCGCUGCGCUGUGACGGCGCGUAGCUCAGCAUCAGUUCAUGUUCCGCGAGAUAUCGUCAUCAGGGAGGUAGAGUAUGGUCUUGUACUAUACUUGUUAUAUCCUGUUGUCGGCGUCGUGGAUAGGACUGAGGUCUAUACAUCACAGUGUACGCCUCUUUUGGCUGGGUGCGGUGUUGCUCUGUUCCAGGUACUCGAUUGGACUGCUCGUCAGUGCUGUUUGGUACUCCUGUGGAUACUGUGAUCCGUCGCCCAUGUACACUCGGAUGCUGAGGAAAUGGUUUGAUCCGGCCCGUCUGAAACACGGACCAAGGAGUCUAACAUCUAUGCGAGUAUUCGGGUGGCAAACCCUUGUGCGCAAUGAAAGUGAAGGUUGAUGUAGGUCAACUGAGGUAGGACGGGUGGUCUAACUUGUUAGGUUGCCCCGCACUAUCGACCGGCCAUGAUCCUCUGGAAAAAGGUCUGAGUGUGAGCAUAUAUGUUGGGACCCGAAAGAUGGUGAACUAUGCCUGAAUAGGGUGAAGCCAGGGGAAACUCUGGUGGAGGCUCGUAGCGAUUCUGACGUGCAAAUCGAUCGUCAAAUUUGGGUAUAGGGGCGAAAGACUAAUCGAACCAUCUAGUAGCUGGUUCCCUC